Molecule: long non-coding RNA, 1792 nt
Organism: Felis catus (domestic cat)
Lineage: Eukaryota; Metazoa; Chordata; Mammalia; Carnivora; Felidae
Exons: 3
Source: RefSeq, a predicted model, not a curated record
GUAUUGCUUGUUUUGUUUGACAACGAGCAUGUAUUAUUUUUAUAAAAGCAGCGGUCAUUACCUUCACACACACACACACUUCAGAUGAUUCUUCUAGACAGCCAGAGUUGAGGACUGCUACAUUUCAUUUGAGCCAUUGACACUCUAGUGUGAAUUACAUUUUCAGGAAGACAGUGUGAGGACCCUGAGGCUCUGCGGGUCCCAACCCAAGCAGCUAAAUCCUCGGAAAAACUGAAGAGGGCUCUUGAGGACUCUGCUGAACGGACCCUCGGGAUCACCCACCCCCUGCUGUGGCACACGCAGGUUAUUUCCAGCCUUCUGCAAAGCCGAGCAGUGCUGUGAGGACAUCCCUUUGCACGGCGGUGUGUGGAGAGUAAAUCCUCCAAGGGCUCUGCGAGGUCCCACAGCUGAGACCAGAUGAGGAAGAUAAGGCCAACGAGGACAGCACGCUCGGGAGGUGAACUCACAGGCCCACAAGGCCCUGCAGCUGGCAGGGGGCCAAGGUUCUCCGACCAGGCAUGAAGCCCGAAGAACGAGCCAGCCAAGGGCUUGGCAUGAAGUAGGUGCUUAGUAAAGACUGGUUUCUUCUAUUCCUUCCUCCUUCCCUUCCAACAGCCAUCUGGGCCCCCAGUCAGGAGGUCACCUCUGGCCAGGGCUGUGGUAGGACAGACAGGGCCCCAGGCCGGGCCUGGCCUUCUCCCCCACCAGCUGAGGUGCCCCCUUCCAUUUCUUCUUCUCCUCCUCCGCGCCACGCCCCCCGCCUCUGCGUGCCCGCUCAGUUAUCUGGUGACUUGAGGACCCCGGGAGUCCCUCUGUUCUCCUCAGCCACCCUGGUGACAAAACAAAGGAGGAGCUCAAAAUCGGCCUUGAUUCAGUGCCUGAAGCCCGUGGCCUGGGCUUGAGUGGCCCUGCCAGGCCACCUGGGGCCGUCCACGGGCGCCACACAGACCCACACAGGGCCCCACGCCAGGCCCGGCCAAAACUGUCGCCCCAGCUGACGGCUUGCUCAGAGAAAUGACUCAGCCCGAGUGCUCAGAUGCCCUGUCCACGUUUUAUGAACUAAAGGUGUUUUCAUAACAACUGGGGGUGAUGAGCCAGCAGCAGGCUGUAAACAGAGCAAUGAUCUGGUUGAAACGCCCAGGUCCGAGCCCCCGCCCACAAGCAGGGCCUCCGAGGUUGUCAGCUUCCCCACAGCGGUGCUUCCUUCACGCCCAGGUGGGGCCACGGGCCCCUGGGCUCGUCCUGGCAAACAGCACAGACUCCCAAAAUAACGUGGAGACGCGCCCAGCCGCAUCUGUAACCCAGGAGGGAAGCGAGUGACAGAGCCAGAUCCGUGGCCUAGACGCCUGCUUCUGUCCUUCCCGGAUGCCCCGGGGCCUCCUGUGGGACCGGAAGCCGUCCAUGAGCCAGGGUCCUGGGACCAGAACUCUGGGAGGCCCAGCCCUGAGCUGGAGUUCGCAGGGCAGGGAAAGUGUACCUCGCCUCCCACAAGGACAGUGCUGCUGGGGGUGUGUGACACAGGUGCCCUAGAACAGCAAAUGGUGUGAAACAAGGAGGGCGGUGCUCAAUCCUCCCGGAGGAUUCUAGAGCUGCCAGAGGUGAGACAGCACGGCCUGCUCAUUCACCCUGUCCCUACCCCCGCUCUUCCUUCCGUCCAUCAGGGCACUUGGGAGGCCUACCUGUCAGCCAUACCCCAGGCUUACCCCUACCAUCCUCUGCCCAAAAGCCAAGCAGUCCUCUUCGAUCCUGACUUUUCCAACCCACGGCAAGUCCCGUCCACCUUACCUCCAGC